AGAGGUGAAACGAAUUUCGCCUGAGGAUGAGCCCGCGUCUGAUUAGCUAGUUGGUGGGGUAAGAGCCCACCAAGGCUACGAUCAGUAGCUGGUCUGAGAGGAUGAUCAGCCACACUGGGACUGAGACACGGCCCAGACUCCUACGGGAGGCAGCAGUGGGGAAUUUUCCGCAAUGGGCGAAAGCCUGACGGAGCAACGCCGCGUGAGGGAUGAAGGCCUCUGGGCUGUAAACCUCUUUUCUCAAGGAAGAAGACAUGACGGUACUUGAGGAAUAAGCCACGGCUAAUUCCGUGCUAGCAGCCGCGGUAAUACGGGAGUGGCAAGCGUUAUCCGGAAUUAUUGGGCGUAAAGCGUCCGCAGGCGGCUCUGUAAGUCUGUUGUUAAAGCGUGGAGCUCAACUCCAUUGCAGCAAUGGAAACUACAGGGCUUGAGUGUGGUAGGGGCAGAGGGAAUUCCCGGUGUAGCGGUGAAAUGCGUAGAUAUCGGGAAGAACACCAGUGGCGAAGGCGCUCUGCUGGGCCAUAACUGACGCUCAUGGACGAAAGCCAGGGGAGCGAAAGGGAUUAGAUACCCCUGUAGUCCUGGCCGUAAACGAUGAACACUAGGUGUCGGGGGAAUCGACCCCCUCGGUGUCGUAGCCAACGCGUUAAGUGUUCCGCCUGGGGAGUACGCACGCAAGUGUGAAACUCAAAGGAAUUGACGGGGGCCCGCACAAGCGGUGGAGUAUGUAGUUUAAUUCGAUGCAACGCGAAGAACCUUACCAGGGUUUGACAUCCUGCGAAUCCCUUGGAAACUUGGGAGUGCCUUCGGGAGCGCAGAGACAGGUGGUGCAUGGCUGUCGUCAGCUCGUGUCGUGAGAUGUUGGGUUAAGUCCCGCAACGAGCGCAACCCACGUCUUUAGUUGCCAGCAUUCAGUUGGGCACUCUAGAGAGACCGCCGGUGAUAAACCGGAGGAAGGUGUGGAUGACGUCAAGUCAUCAUGCCCCUUACAUCCUGGGCUACACACGUACUACAAUGCUACGGACAGAGGGCAGCAAGCUCGCGAGAGUUAGCAAAUCCCAUAAACCGUGGCUCAGUUCAGAUCGUAGGCUGCAACUCGCCUACGUGAAGGAGGAAUCGCUAGUAAUCGCAGGUCAGCAUACUGCGGUGAAUACGUUCCCGGGCCUUGUACACACCGCCCGUCACACCAUGGAAGUUGGCCAUGCCCGAAGUCG
Molecule: ribosomal RNA, 1214 nt
Filed under: metagenome
Description: bacterial SSU rRNA
Rfam family: Bacterial small subunit ribosomal RNA
Source: RNAcentral